AGUUUGAUCCUGGCUCAGGAUGAACGCUAGCGGCAGGCUUAAUACAUGCAAGUCGAGGGGCAGCAUGAGUAGCAAUACUUGAUGGCGACCGGCAAACGGGUGCGGAACACGUACGCAACCUUCCUUUAAGCGGGGAAUAGCCCGGGGAAACCCGGAUUAAUACCCCAUAAUAUAUUGAGAAAGCAUUUUCUUUUUAUUAAAGAUUUAUCACUUAAAGAUGGGCGUGCGCCUGAUUAGGCAGUCGGCGGGGUAACGGCCCACCAAACCUACGAUCAGUAACUGGCGUGAGAGCGCGACCAGUCACACGGGCACUGAGACACGGGCCCGACUCCUACGGGAGGCAGCAGUAAGGAAUAUUGGUCAAUGGACGCAAGUCUGAACCAGCCAUGCCGCGUGGAGGAUGAAGGUCCUCUGGAUUGUAAACUUCUUUUAUUUGGGAAGAAAUGUGAAUUUUCUAUUUCACUUGACGGUACCAGAUGAAUAAGCACCGGCUAACUCCGUGCCAGCAGCCGCGGUAAUACGGAGGGUGCAAGCGUUAUCCGGAUUUACUGGGUUUAAAGGGUGCGCAGGCGGAUAUGUAAGUCAGUGGUGAAAUCUCCGGGCUUAACCCGGAAAUUGCCGUUGAUACUAUAUAUCUUGAAUGCUGUGGAGGUAAGCAGAAUAUGUCAUGUAGCGGUGAAAUGCUUAGAUAUGACAUAGAAUACCUAUUGCGAAGGCAGCUUACUACGCAGAUAUUGACGCUCAUGCACGAAAGCGUGGGGAUCAAACAGGAUUAGAUACCCUGGUAGUCCACGCCCUAAACGAUGAUUACUCGACAUACGCGAUACACUGUGUGUGUCUGAGCGAAAGCAUUAAGUAAUCCACCUGGGAAGUACGUUCGCAAGAAUGAACUCAAAGGAUUGGCGGGGGUCCGCACAAGCGGU
This 923-nucleotide ribosomal RNA is filed under the name uncultured bacterium. RNAcentral's name for it is "bacterial SSU rRNA". It matches the Rfam family "Bacterial small subunit ribosomal RNA", at positions 10 to 933 of the family's 1533-position model. The record is from RNAcentral.